RNAcentral lists this microRNA precursor (60 nucleotides) under Homo sapiens (human). RNAcentral's name for it is "Hsa-Mir-3663_pre stem-loop". Lineage: Eukaryota; Metazoa; Chordata; Mammalia; Primates; Hominidae. The record is from RNAcentral.
GCUGGUCUGCGUGGUGCUCGGGUGGAUAAGUCUGAUCUGAGCACCACACAGGCCGGGCGC